RNAcentral lists this long non-coding RNA (4047 nucleotides) under Canis lupus dingo (dingo). RNAcentral's name for it is "lncRNA (ENSCAFG00020002250.1)". The record is from RNAcentral. Lineage: Eukaryota; Metazoa; Chordata; Mammalia; Carnivora; Canidae.
UAUGUACUCAUUCAACCCUCACAUUCACCCUACAAAGUCCUAUCAUCCCAUCACCACCAUCACCACCAUCACCACCAUCACCAUCACUACCACCACCACCCUCACCACCAUCACUACUGCCAUCACCACCACCAUCACCAUGACCACCAUCACGACCACCAUCAUCACCAUCACCAUCACUACCACCACCAUCACCACCAUCACCACCAUCACCACCACCAUCACUAUCACCAUCAUCACCAUCAUCACCAUCACCACCAUCACCACCAUCAUCACCAUCAUCACCAUCAUCACCAUCAUCACCAUCAUCACCAUCAUCACCACAAUCACCAUCAUCACCAUCACCGCCAUCAUCACCACCACCAUCAUCACCAUCACCACCAUCAUCACCACCACCGUCAUCACCAUCACCACCAUCAUCACCACCACCAUCAUCAUCAUCACCACCAUCACCAUCACCACCAUCAUCACCACCACCGUCACCACCAUCAGCACCAUCACCAUCAUCACCACCAUCACCACCCCAUCACUAUCACCACCAUCACCACCACCAUCACCAUCACCACCAUCAUUAGCACCACCAUCACCACCAUCAUCACCACCAUCACCAUCAUCACCAUCAUCACCACAAUCACCAUCGCCACCAUCAUCAUCAUCAUCAUCACCACCAUCACCACCACCAUCACCAUCAUCACCACCAUCACCACCCCAUCACUAUCACCACCAUCACCACCACCAUCACCAUCACCAUCACCGUCAUCACCAUUACCACCAUCACCACCAUCAUCACCAUCAUCACCACAAUCACCAUCAUCACCAUCACCACCAUCAUCACCACCACCAUCAUCACCAUCACCACCAUCAUCACCACCACCGUCAUCACCAUCACCACCAUCAUCACCACCACCGUCAUCACCAUCACCACCAUCAUCACCACCACCAUCAUCAUCAUCACCACCAUCACCACCACCACCAUCAUCACCACCACCGUCACCACCAUCAGCACCAUCACCAUCAUCACCACCAUCACCACCCCAUCACUAUCACCACCAUCACCACCACCAUCACCACCACAAUCACCACCAUCACCACCCCAUCAUUAUCACCACCAUCACCACCACCAUCACCAUCACCACCAUCAUCACCACAAUCACCAUCACCACCAUCACCACCAUCAUCAUCACCACCAUUGUCACCACCAUCACCAUCACCAUCAUCACCACCACCAUCACCAUCACCAUCAUCACCAUUACCACCAUCACCACCAUCAUCACCAUCAUCACCACUAUCACCAUCAUCACCAUCACCACCAUCAUCACCACCACCAUCAUCACCAUCACCACCAUCAUCACCACCACCGUCAUCACCAUCACCACCAUCAUCACCACCACCGUCAUCACCAUCACCACCAUCAUCACCACCACCAUCAUCAUCAUCACCACCAUCACCACCACCACCAUCAUCACCACCACCGUCACCACCAUCAGCACGAUCACCAUCAUCACCACCACCACCCCAUCACUAUCACCACCAUCACCACCACCAUCACCAUCACCACCAUCAUUAGCACCACCAUCACCACCAUCAUCACCACCAUCACCAUCAUCACCACAAUCACCAUCGCCACCAUCAUCAUCAUCAUCAUCACCACCAUCACCACCACCAUCACCACCAUCACCACCCCAUCACUAUCACCACCAUCACCACCACCAUCACCAUCACCACCAUCAUCAGCACCACCAUCACCACCAUCACCACCCCAUCACCAUCACCAUCAUCACCACCACCAUCACUAUCACCAUCAUCACCACCACCAUCACCAUCAUCACCACCAUCACCAUCACCACCACCAUCACCAUCACCACCAUCAUCACCACCACCGUCACCACCAUCAGCACCAUCACCAUCAUCACCACCAUCACUACCCCAUCACUAUCACCACCAUCACCACCACCAUCACCAUCACCACCAUCAUCAGCACCACCAUCACCACCAUCAUCACCACCAUCACCAUCAUCACCAUCAUCACCACAAUCACCAUCACCACCACCAUCACCACCAUCAUCAGCACCACCGUCACCACCAUCAUCACCACCAUCACCAUCAUCACCACCAUCAUCAUCAUCACCACUGUCACCAUCACCACCAUCAUCACCACCACCGUCACCACCAUCACCAUCAUCACCAUCAUCAACACCACCAUCACCACCAUCACCACCCCAUCAUUAUCACUACCAUCACCACCACCAUCACCAUCACCACCAUCAUCAGCACCACUGUCACCACCAUCACCACCACCAUCACCAUCAUCACCAUCAUCAUCACAAUCACCAUCACCACCAUCACCACCAUCAUCAUCAUCACCACCAUCACGACCAUCAUCAUUACCACCACCAUCACCACCAUCACCAUCAUCAUCAUCACCACCAUCAUCACCACCAUCACUAUCAUCACCAUCACCAUCACUACCACCACCAUCAUCACCAUCACCACCACCACCACCACCAUCACCACCAUCAUCACCAUCACCACCAUCACCAUCAUCAUCACCAUCACCACCACCGUCACCACCAUCACCAUCAUCACCACCACCGUCACCACCAUCAGCACCAUCACCAUCAUCACCACCAUCACCACCCCAUCACUAUCACCACCAUCACCACCACCAUCACCAUCACCACCAUCAUUAGCACCACCAUCACCACCAUCAUCACCACCAUCACCAUCAUCACCAUCAUCACCACAAUCACCAUCGCCACCAUCAUCAUCAUCAUCAUCAUCACCACCAUCACCACCACCAUCACCACCAUCACCACCCCAUCACUAUCACCACCAUCACCACCACCAUCACCAUCACCACCAUCAUCAGCACCACCAUCACCACCAUCACCACCCCAUCACCAUCACCAUCAUCACCACCACCAUCACUAUCACCAUCAUCACCACCAUCACCACCCCAUCACUAUCACCACCAUCACCACCAUCAUCAGCACCACCAUCACCAUCAUCACCAUCAUCACCACAAUCACCAUCACCACCAUCAUCAUCAUCAUCAUCAUCACCACCAUCACCAUCACCACCACCACUGUCACCACCAUCUACAUCACCACCAUCACCACCACCAUCACCAUCACCACCAUCAUCAACACCACCGUCACCACCAUCAUCACCACCAUCACCAUCAUCACCAUCAUCACCAUCAUCACAAUCACCAUCACCACCAUCACCACCAUCAUCAUCAUCACCACCGUCACCAUCACCACCACCGUCACCACCAUCACCAUCAUCACCACCAUCACGACCAUCAUCAUUACCACCACCAUCACCACCAUCACCAUCAUCAUCAUCACCACCAUCACCACCAUCACUAUCAUCACCAUCACCAUCACUACCACCACCAUCAUCACCAUCACCACCACCACCACCACCAUCACCACCAUCAUCACCAUCACCACCAUCACCAUCAUCAUCACCAUCACCACCACCGUCACCACCAUCACCAUCAUCACCACCAUCGUCACCACCAUCACCAUCAUCACCACCAUCACCACCACCAUCACCACCAUCAUCAGCACCACCGUCACCACCAUCAUCACCACCAUCACCAUCAUCACCACCAUCAUCAUCAUCACCACUGUCACCAUCACCACCAUCAUCACCACCACCGUCACCACCAUCACCAUCAUCACCAUCAUCACCACCACCAUCACCACCAUCACCACCCCAUCAUUAUCACCACCAUCACCACCACCAUCACCAUCACCACCAUCAUCAGCACCACCGUCACCACCACCAUCACCAUCAUCACCAUCAUCAUCACAAUCACCAUCACCACCAUCACCACCAUCAUCAUCAUCACCACCGUCACCAUCACCACCAUCAUCACCACCACCAUCACCACCAUCACCAUCAUCACCACCAUCACCACCAUCAUUACCACCACCAUCACCAUCAUCACCACCAUCAUCAUCAUCACCAGCAUCACCACCAUCACCAUCACCACCAUCAUCACCACCACCGUCACCACCAUCACCAUCAUCAUCAUAA